RNAcentral lists this long non-coding RNA (9275 nucleotides) under Gallus gallus (chicken). RNAcentral's name for it is "lncRNA (ENSGALG00010000971.1)". The record is from RNAcentral. Lineage: Eukaryota; Metazoa; Chordata; Aves; Galliformes; Phasianidae.
GCCGGCGGGGAAGUUGCAACUGGUUGAGCAGCUCCGAAUGUGCGUGCUUAGGCUUUGGAUACUUGGUUUUUUCUUUUUUUUUUUUUUUUUUUCUCUUUUCUUCUAUUUAUUUAUUUAUUUAUUAAUUUUUACUUACCGCAGCCUAAAAAAGCAUGCCUUGGGGCUUCUCCUCCCUACCACAGCCGGGCCGCCCCAGCACAAGCGCAGCCAAUCCCGGCGGGUUGCGAGACGGAGGGAGGAGGAGGAGGGCGAGGGGCAGCCACGCGGGGCCGCGGGCGCGGCAGGUGGGGGAUGGCCCGGGGGGCGGAGGACAGCCGACACCGCCCAGAAGCCGCGCAGCUCCGGCCCCGAGCCGGAGCGUGGCUCGAGCAUCGCUGUAAGAGCCCGCGGCCGCCCCCUCCCGAGCUCUUAGCCGUCCCCUAAAGUUUAUUUUUAGCCCCCGGAAAGCGCUAUAAAGGUCCCGCGGAGCGAGCGGGCCGGGAGACGUGGCACCGCGCUGCCUGCAGCCACUUCUCUGAACUGUUACCUUCAAAAUGAAGAGCAAGACAGAGGUGAGAACAAAGAAAGCCUUGGAAAAAUCCGGUCAUAACAUCUGAGGAAUAGAAAUAAUAGGAAAUACUUAUACAGUCAGAGUUUGGAUGGAAUUUAUGAAAAGUUACAAAGGGCCCUAUUACAUUUGUAUCUAGAUUUGGGAAUUUUAAUUUUACACAUAAUAAAGAUACCAGUGCAUCUUUUCCUCUACUUUGGAUGAUAAUGCAUUCUGCUGUCUUUAGCCUUGCAAAAUUUUCUUAUACCAACUAAUGUACAUUCAGCUUAAUUCUUUAGUUGUUAGACCUAAGACACCUUCUCACAUCAAGCUAGAGCAUGAAUAAUAAUAAAUCAUUAAAAACCAUCCUCUCUGUUUGCUGGUCUAUAAAUAUAAAUAUUAGAUCCCUGAAUUUCUAUGUCCCCAGCAGAACAAGUGGGAUUUGAAUAAAAGGUAUAUGUAUAUGCGACCUUAUCACUGCCAAAUGCCAAAAGUACAUAAUAUAGAGCUUAUCUGGACUUCAGGCCUUCGGUGCUGUGUAGGUAGAGGUGAUUCUUGGCAUAACUCCUACCUUUGUAGAAUUAAAACAUCAUAAUUUUUAGAAGAGUUCUUAACCAAUUGUGUAGACAUCAUAAUUGGGCAGUAUUUCUGUGACACUGAUGUAGCAUUAAGAGACCUAAAUCAAAUUUUGUCCAUGAAAACACACAAAACAGUCAGUGAGCACCAGGCAAUGGGGAGUAAUAUGUGAAAAAGGACAGCAGCAAUGAAGUCUAAUCCCAGUGAUAUAUUCCUCUGUUGCCUACACACUCUGUUCUGUUGCCUGCUGAGAAAAACCAAUCUAGAUUGUGUUAUUUACAACUGAUCUUUUUAGGCUAGAACUGUUAAAACAGAAUGCCAAACAACUUGAAAGUUUCUGUAGAAAUACUGUUAGGAAGACAAAAGAGAAAAUAAAUUAAAGCUAAUGAUUAUUUAUCACUGAGAAACACACACACACACAAAAAAGCCUUCUGAGUUUACUUUGCUGGUUUCAAGUACUAAAACUUCCACCUCAAAGUCUGUUCUUCUGUCUCAUUAGUCUUAAUUCAUGGCAGUGCAGAGCAAUAGAAGCGUAAGGAGGUGCUCAUUUCAUACUAGAUUUGAAAGGAAGCCCAACAAGCAGCUGUACAAAGUUGUUUUUUUGUUUGUUUGUUUGUUUGCUUUUUUGUUUUUUUGCAUCCUGGCACUUCUGGAUUUAGCAGCUGCUCUGCCUGUCUGCACUCGGGGUCAAACAUUUAAGAGUCAACUAAAUGUGAGGGAGGUUUCCCUACCAAGUGUCAUUCACAAGAGCAGAUGCUGCAGGCUGUGAAUUAGGGACAGGGGAUAGUCUCACAUCAUCUACUGACUGCUAUUAAUAACCCUGUUUACAUCUGAUCCCUGCCCCAAAUCCUUCCCAUAUGGUACUCAAGUACCAAUUUCUUAUGUUUUCCAAAGGUCACCUAUCAUCAGCACCAAGAACAGACCACAGGUCCCCUGACACAGCACUACCACUGUGCAGAAUCUGUGUUGAGCUAAACUCUCUGCAGACAUGCCUUUAGCUUUUAUGCUGUGCUGUCGCAAAGCAGUGCUCAGAACAAAGGAAGCCCAUUUCCUAAGCAGUUGAAAACUUUGCUAGCAAAGUACAGUGCACUUGUUCAUUGCAGGCAGUCCAUUUAAAAAUGUACACCUAUCUUCUAUGUUGUUCUUCCAUUUAAAUCUGCAUAAAUCAGCCUGCAUCGUAGCUUUGUCAGCUGGCUGAUAUUCAACAAUGAGAGGAAGUAGAAAGCGGCAGAAUUAAUAUCCACUGGCUGAAUGUAGUUCCAGUACCACCUAACACUAGAGUGUUUGACUAAUUGAUUGCCCUUAGCAUUCUGCUAACAACAGAUGUACGGUAUGAGUUAAAUUAGUAAAUUUGUAUUGCUCCUAUUGCUUUCCAUAGCCUGAAACAGUUGUAAUUAUUGAAAUUAUUUAAAUCAGAAACAUUGUAUUCAAAACACUUUAAUUGAUUUUCUUUGUAUUUUUGUUAAUAAAAACUGCUCUAAUAAAAGUACCGUGGGGUAAUGAUUUGUAGUUUCGGCCGCACACUUGAAAACACGAAGGGGAUCGUGCUGAAGAGCAGAACACCUAUCAGAGCCAGCUCCAAGAACUCAGAAUCUGAUUCUCCACAAUCAGAGUUUCAGAAAAUAAGCCUCCUUCCAAAAGGAGUAUGUUCAGACAUACUGGCAAAGAGCAAAAGCUAUUGUUUCUUUGUAGCUACACCAGCUCCACUGAGAUUGCAAUUUUGUUUUGGUCUUUUUUUUUCUACAUAAUGAAACUCGCAGUUCAUAAAAGAUCAGGUUAAGGUAAGGAAACUGAAAUUAGUGUUAACUGUGUUUCUAUCAUCAUGCUUUACAUAAUACCAGAAGAUAUCAAAAGGAGAUCAAAACUAUAAUGUCUACGCAUCCUGAAGUACCUCUUAUCUGUAAAGGACAUCCUCAUUCAGAGCAAACGGUGAGUGCACCAACCUAUUUAAACAAAAUACGAUUGGCCACUGUUAUGUCCUUUAUCAGACAUAUGUUUGCAGAGACUUUAAAGGCUGGAAUUUUUGAAGUAGUACAAUUACUAUGCAUGACAAAAUCAUAAAUGAAAUAUUUUGCAUAAAAAAUGUCAGCUGUGGACAGAUAGUCUAAUUAAAAAGACGAUAUGAAGCAGAGCAAGAAAUAAAUAGGAGCUAUAUUGCUAGUGCUAUCAUUGCUAUUCUGAUAAUCAAUUCCUUCUGAUACCAAAAAGAGUGUUAUUAACAGGACUCUGUCAACAAGUGGGGAAAAAAUCUUGUAUUAUCUCAACAAAAACAGGAGUCAAAAAAUAACAAUACAACCCAAAGCCUCCAUGCUUGCCAACAUACUCAACUUUUCUCAAAAAUGUGUCAUGUAUUAUGCUCAAAUGACACAGGAACUUGGACCACAAGAUGGGAACUAAUUCUGAAGUUAGGGACUAUUUCUGAAGAACAGUCUUCCCAAAGCCAUUCAUUUUGAUCACUUAGUAAAUGCAAUUGUUAAGCAGUUUCUUUGCUUUCUUCUUUUUGUUUGUUUUUUUUUUCUGUUGUUGUUAAUUUCAUAAAUCAGUUGUCUGAAGUCAGAACAACAAAGCAAAUAUCUGCAUAUAUACCCAAAGUAUAAUGAAAAACAAAGACAAGUAGUUACGAUCUGUCAUCACCUUUAUUCUCCCUGAUUCUCCUUCUGAUUUGUAAUGCACCACUGUAAAACAGUGAGGUCACCAAAGCCAAGAUUUGCAUAUAGGAUACCCACAUUUAGAUAACCUUUUUAAAGGCGUGCGGUGUCAGUAAGUGAUCUCUCCUGAAGGAGCAAAGCACAGAACAGCUCCAAAACACAGACGGUCAAUUUUGCUGCCUUUUUGCUGGUUCAGGAAGUUCAGAAUAGGAGCUCAGGUUGGAUCAGUAUUCACUAUUUGUUUUCUCAACUAUUCAAAUUGUUAGGGUUUUUUGUUAGAGAGGGAAUAGAUGUGCUACCACUUGAGGCAAAAAGCACAUGAAUUGGAACAGUUUUUUGUAACCAUUUGCUUUCAAUCUGCUGCUGUGACCAAAAGAAAUGUGAACUGGCAGAGUGCUGCUGUUAAUAUAAUUCUAUUUUGCAACAGCUGAGGAAAUGACGAGAUUAAAAUAACUUCCAAAUACUCGCACUGAACAUUUAAUGGCUGGUGUUCCCAGGGUCAGCAGGCAUGGAGAUGAGAUGGGGAAUGUCUGGGCAUUCUUUACAGCAGAUUGCCAGGAAGAGCCUUCCAACUGACUAACUCAACAGGGUUUUUCUUCCUUGCUAGAUGCAGUAAGAGCAUCUAAAAACAUUUUGAAGUUUUGAUUAAGGGCAAAUAUUUGGCAGAGAUAGUUCUGACUUCUCUGGGAGUGAGAACAGGUUGUAUCAUUUCUUAGUUGAUGCUAGCAAAAGUCUUUUAAGGAAAUGAAGUGCCUUCAUUUUCUUAAACACCAAUAGGAUUUGCAAUUAGGGGGAAAUUAUAGGUACAGUAAAUAAACAGAGCUCAAAGCUCCCACUGUAUUCAGUGACAUCUUGAAGUACACCGCAUGUCUUAAAAGUGACACUGUGUGAGAAAGUACCUUCUAAGACUGAAGCAAUUACAUUCUGCUUGUAAUUCUUUAUGAAGAAACUGACAAAACAAAAUUCAAAUGCAUUUUUCAUAUAGCAGAUAUGACAGAAGAAAGCAGCAUGGAAAGACAUAAAGGGUGGCAAAAUACUCUUUGGAUUUGUUAGCUGAGAUGCUAAAAGCAAACCAGAAUUUGCUCAUCUCAUUUUAAAUGAUAUCUUUCCCUUCAGUUUUAGCAUUCAUAUCACUUAUUCAAAAAUACAGAUAAAUAACAUAUAGUCUAUGUUCAAUAACUAUACUACAUCAGAAGUACAGUUGUUUGGGUUUUUGUUUUGUUUUGUUUUGUUUUUUAAUCUACUUAAGAGAACCACAGUACUGGUUACCACUGAGACUUCACUGUCAUCCAUAAAUAUCAUGCCCUAGGAAACAACAGAAGAGUUGAUGUCUCUGUGCCAUUUACUCAGUGGUUAGCACAACAGGACUCUGGUUUGGCUUGGAUCUAUCACCAGGUGUUACUGUUACAUAUAUAUAACAAAAAUGAUAACAGUCCUUCUGUUUGAUAGAAAGUUACACACUGUGAUAAUUUGGGAACACUGUUAAAGAUAAACUCUCCAAAUGUGAUGAGAAAAAGCCACAGGCGUUCUGACAAUAAGGAUAUAUAGAGAGAUCUGAGAGUCCCACACCACCACCAGGAUCUAGGAAUGGAAUAUCUAAUUAAUCUAGCUAAAAUGUCCUUAAGGGUACAUUUGGCCGCUCAGAAAUUAACUACCUGACAAACAUAUGUCUUUUCUUGGUAUUUAGUUUCAACUUUGUCUUUCAACUCCCUUCCCCAUAGCUGAAAAUAAAGCGCUGAAGGAAUGAACAAGUCCUACUCAUUGGUUUGGGUUUUUCUUAGUAAGAUUAUAAAUGAAAACACAUUUGACUAAGUCCUGUGGAAAAUGUAAUUUGUUGUGUCACAGCAAUCGCUCAGCAUGUUUGCAGCUGGGUUUGAUGAUACCAGACCCUGCUUGUUAUAAGAUCAAUAGUAAUGGCCUCAAGGAAAGAAGGAUAGAUGAAGAAAGACUGAUGGCUUGCAGGCUCAAACUAGUUUGGGUCAUCAGGAGCUAAAAGGGAAAUGUUUUUUAACUUGCCAAUGAAUUACUCUCUCAAUACAAAGACCAAGGAGCAGAGGCCAAAUGCACUUCUCCUGCCUCAUUUCAAAAACUUUCAAUGUCUUUUAUCAAAGUCUUUUUGAUUACUACAGAAAGGGAAUGGGAAAAUAUUGUGCUAUGUAUAUAUAUAUAUAUAUAUAUAUGUAUAUAUAUAUAUAUAGCUUAAAACAUUCUGAAAAGAAUGAGAGAGUAAGUAGUAUUAAAUACAGUAUUUGCAAUGGAGCUUGCCAUAGGCCAUCUUUAAUUCCACCACUUAAAUGAAGCAGUACACCCCUUCUGACAAUCCAUCAAUGUCCCAUUUGUUUGUGUUAGUUCAGUUCAAGAUGAUCUAAUUAGAAAUGCUUUAUCUUGGAAAAAUCCAAGAGCCUUGCACAAGCACCUGGGCCAAAGCAGGAAAAUUUUUAUCCCUCCAAACACUCAUUACUGCCAACUUAAUGCUGGAAGUGUAGCAGAAGUACUAUAGUUCCAAUGCAAACAAGGCUGAUUUACUUGAGGUCCCAUCGAGGUGUCAGCCGCUACUGCUGGACUGAGAGCUCUGACUGCGCCAUUGCUCCAAAAUCACUUUUCUCUAAACACUGAGUGAACAAGCAUGCAACAAACUGCAAGUAUUAAUUACAGAGCUCAAAACUGAAGAAGAAUCAUCAGUCUUUGCAAAUCUUCCCCAAUGGCUUCUCCUGAUUCUGCCCUAUAGCUGCAGGACGGGGCCGUAGGCUAAGCUCAGCUCAGCUCCACAGUAGAAAGCCAAGAACAAAAAAGGAAAAUCAAAAAUCCCUUGCAGUGUAUAUUCACUGGUGUGGGUAUUCACUUCGACUUAGUGUUUAGGGCUGAAGGAUUACUUGGUAAGAAGGAAAAAGAAAGAGGAACAGAGAUUAAAAGCAAGCAGAUAAAGAAAAGCUUCAAGAUACAAAAAUAGCAAAGGGUAAGGAGAAUGUGAAAAGACAAAAAUAUCAUUUUUUACUGCAGAAACACAGUAAUAAAAUCUUUUAUCAGUACCAUGAAAUCCACCUGUCCUCUCCUCAGAAAUAUUCAGUUAGCCCAUCACUCAAGCUCUCAGAUUCUCUAGUGUAGAAUAGAGACAAGAUUUCAGGGCAAUAGACCAUCUAGUGCUGGUGCUCACCAGUAUCAAAUGCCUGAGGAAGAGUUUAACAAGUCAAACAUACAACUAGCCUCUGGUGAUUUGUGAUUUAUAGACGUCCAGUAAUAAAGGAUCUUACUAUGUUUAUACAGCCCUUGAUAGACCUUCAUUUCCCUAAUUUAUUUAUUCACUGUUUUUGAGCAUCCACAGCAUCCUAGGGUAAAGAAUGUCCCAGCUGAAGUUGGUUUUGAAAACACACAUUUUGUUUUGAUCACAUUCCCCUUUACUCCCCACAGUAAUGGAGAGAGGCAUGGAAAGGAACAGGUGAGACCAGUCCACCAGUGCAUGUCUCCAAGACUGGUUGCCUCCACCGGAAUUUUGGAUUUUAUAAUCAUGGGAAAGUCUUUGAGACACAAGAUCUGCUGGGGGUCGUCGUAACCCAUCUUUCUCAAUUGGGAAGAUAUUUCUUGGCCUGUAACAUGGUGAGCCUGAUUGAGAGGGCUUUAAACUACAAUCAGCUUGGGUGGGGGGGAUACCAUUAGGAACACUGAGGUUGUGCCACGGGAUGAUGUAGACUGUUUGAGAGUGGCAAGGCUAAUGGGAUCAUUUGUGACACUUCAGGAAGUUCUACAGGUUCAGGAAUACAUCUGAAAUGUUUGAAUACUAACACACACAGCAUGAGAAAAAAAUGGGAUGAACUGGAAGCUUUGGUCCUUUCCCAGACCUCUGAUAUCAUUGGUAUCAGGUGCUGUUGACUCCCUGGAGGGUGUAGAGGCUUUUCAGAGUGACAGUGGAGUAUCACGAAUCACCAACAGCCUGAAGUUCAACAAAGGAAAAUGAUGAGAUCUGCACCUGAGAUGGAGCAAUGUCAAACACAAGCACAGAUGGGAGACAAGUGACUGGAGUCAAGCUCAGCUUGAGCCAGCGGUGUGCCCUGGUAGCCAAGAGGGCAAACUGCAUUUUGGGAUGCAUUAAACGCAGCACAACCAGCCAGUCAAAACAGGUGAUCCUUCCUCUACACUUAGCAUUACUGCAGCCUUACUUCAAAUAUUGUGUACAGCUCCGGACUCCACAAUAUAAAAAGUGUAUCAAUAUAACUUCAAAGCAUCUAGAGAAGGGCAAGAAGACUUGUAAAAGAGUGGAAAGACAUGUCCUAUGAGGAGAGGCUGAGGAUACUUGGGCUGUCCAACCUGAAGAAGAAGUGGCCGAGAGGCAACCUCACAGCUCUUUGCAUCUCCCUGAGGAAGGGAAGCAGAGGGAUGUGCCCAACUCUUCUCCCUGGGAACCAACGGCAGGAUGUAUGUGAAUGGCACAAAGCUGCAUUAAGGGAGGUUCAGACUGAACAUUAGGAGAAAUUCCUUUAUCAUAUACUGGAGCAGGCUUCCUAGAGUAGUGAUUCAUGUUGAAUGCCUGUCAGUGUUAAAGAGAUGUUUGGACAAUGUCUUUAAUGAUGUUUUAACAUUUGGUUAGUCCUGAAGUGGUCGGACAGAUGGACUAGAAUACGUCGCAAGGUCUCUUCCAACUGAACAAUUCUAUCCUAUUCUGUUCUGUUCCUUCACUUGUCAUUGUAUCAUAAAACAAAGGGAAUUCUUUAUUUGCCUUCUCCAGAGGGCCUUCUCACAUGAUAGUUCAAAUCUCAACUUUCUAUCUUCUCAUCCACUUCUUUCAAGCCAAAAACUGCAAACAGCUUUUUAGAUUCAGGUAUACUAUGGAUUUCUACCUUGCUAAUUACUAACAUUAAGUUUUAUUUUUGACCACCUCUGAGAAUCAAGAUGAUGUUUUCACAGAGCUGCCACUUGCAACUCCAAUAUCUUUUUGUUGAAUACCAAGAACUUGAGAAUCCACUUCUACUUGUGCAAAGUUAGGUUUGUUUUGUUCUAUGAGCAUCCCACUACACUUACAUAAGCAGAAUUUCAUUCUCACUCUUACUAUCCAUUCAUGCUAUCUUCCGAGGUCUUUCUGCAGAAUCUGUAGAUGUUCUUUAUCUUUGCCACCCACAGUAACUCAGUAUUAUCAGCAUGUGCCCAAAUACCUCUUGUUGUACAUGAAGAAUGACAGAUUGAUUUUCACCAGAUUGUAUUACACAGUUUAAAAAAUAAAAAGAAACUGAGACAAAAUACAACAAAAUGUUGUGCCUAUUCCAUCUUGAGCUCUGAUCUUUGACUGAGUUUGGAAAAGAAAAAAGAAAAAAGAAUUAUAAACAUUGUCAUGUUUACCACUUCAAUGCAGAGGAUUUUGAUUUCCAAACUAUCUUCUACUGCUUGGAUUAUUUCCUUGAUGAACAGCAUGACAAUUUAAGAGAUUAUCACCAAUUAAUUCAAAAUGACCAUUUUGAGGUGUAAUCUUGAAGAUUCAAUAAAUACUGAGAAUUUUUUUUUUUUUUUUAUCUCAAUCUUGUGACCAUAAAUACAAG